CGGACGGGUGAGUAACACGUGGAUAACCUACCUAUAAGACUGGGAUAACUUCGGGAAACCGGAGCUAAUACCGGAUAAUAUUUUGAACCGCAUGGUUCAAAAGUGAAAGACGGUCUUGCUGUCACUUAUAGAUGGAUUCGCGCUGCAUUAGCUAGUUGGUAGGGUAACGGCUUACCAAGGCAACGAUGCAUAGCCGACCUGAGAGGGUGAUCGGCCACACUGGAACUGAGACACGGUCCAG
Molecule: ribosomal RNA, 241 nt
Filed under: uncultured Staphylococcus sp.
Lineage: Bacteria; Bacillati; Bacillota; Bacilli; Caryophanales; Staphylococcaceae
Description: partial 16S ribosomal RNA
Rfam family: Bacterial small subunit ribosomal RNA
Source: RNAcentral